AGUGAACGCUGGCGGUAGGCCUAACACAUGCAAGUCGAACGGCAGCACAGUAAGCGCUUGCUCUUACGGGUGGCGAGUGGCGGACGGGUGAGGAAUACAUCGGAAUCUACUUUUUCGUGGGGGAUAACGUAGGGAAACUUACGCUAAUACCUCAUACGACCUACGGGUGAAAGCAGGGGAUCUUCGGACCUUUCGCGAUUGAAUGAGUCGAUGUCGGAUUAGCUAGUUGGCGGGGUAAAGGCACACCAAGGCGACGAUCCGUAGCUGGUCUGAGAGGAUGAUCAGCCACACUGGAACUGAGACACGGUCCAGACUCCUACGGGAGGCAGCAGUGGGGAAUAUUGGACAAUGGGCGCAAGCCUGAUCCAGCCAUACCGCGUGGGUGAAGAAGGCCUUCGGGUUGUAAAGCCCUUUUGUUGGGAAAGAAAAGCAGCAGGUUAAUACCCCGCUGUUCUGACGGUACCCAAAGAAUAAGCACCGGCUAACUUCGUG
This 492-nucleotide ribosomal RNA is filed under the name uncultured bacterium. Its description in RNAcentral is "partial 16S ribosomal RNA". It matches the Rfam family "Bacterial small subunit ribosomal RNA", at positions 29 to 507 of the family's 1533-position model. The record is from RNAcentral.